Molecule: non-coding RNA, 77 nt
Filed under: Thiobacillus sp.
Lineage: Bacteria; Pseudomonadati; Pseudomonadota; Betaproteobacteria; Nitrosomonadales; Thiobacillaceae
Description: c-di-GMP sequence
Rfam family: c-di-GMP-I-GGC riboswitch aptamer
Source: RNAcentral
CCUGUAAAGGGCAAACCCGUCGCGAGGCGGGGACGCAAAGCCACCGGUCUUGGAAAAAGACAGCGGAGCUGCCGUAG